AGUCGAAUGUAGCAAUACAUGGCGAACUGCUCAGUAACACGUGGACAACCUGCCCUUAGGACGGGGAUAAACCCGGGAAACUGGGUAUAAUACCCGAUAGGUCUCGAUUGCUGGAAUGCAUCGAGAUUUAAAGCUCCGGCGCCUAAGGAUGGGUCUGCGGCCUAUCAGGUAGUAGUGGGUGUAGCGUACCUACUAGCCUACGACGGGUACGGGUUGUGAGAGCAAGAGCCCGGAGAUGGAUUCUGAGACACGAAUCCAGGCCCUACGGGGUGCAGCAGGCGCGAAAACUUUACAAUGCUGGCAACAGCGAUAAGGGAACCUCGAGUGCCAGGUUACAAAUCUGGCUGUCGAGAUGCCUAAAAAGCAUUUCAUAGCAAGGGCCGGGCAAGACCGGUGCCAGCCGCCGCGGUAACACCGGCGGCUCGAGUGGUAACCGUUAUUAUUGGGUCUAAAGGGUCUGUAGCCGGCCGGAUAAGUCUCUUGAGAAAUCUGGCAGCUUAACUGUCAGGCUUUC
Molecule: ribosomal RNA, 514 nt
Filed under: uncultured archaeon
Lineage: Archaea
Description: bacterial SSU rRNA
Rfam family: Archaeal small subunit ribosomal RNA
Source: RNAcentral